This 509-nucleotide ribosomal RNA is filed under the name uncultured bacterium. RNAcentral describes it as "bacterial SSU rRNA". It matches the Rfam family "Bacterial small subunit ribosomal RNA", at positions 28 to 533 of the family's 1533-position model. The record is from RNAcentral.
GAUGAACGCUAGCGGGAGGCUUAACACAUGCAAGUCGAGGGGCAGCAUAAGGGUAGCAAUACUCUGAUGGCGACCGGCAGACGGGUGAGUAACGCGUAUGUAACCUACCCCAUACAGAGGGAUAACCCGGAGAAAUUCGGACUAAUAUCUCAUAAAACCACAGAUGGGCAUCCAUUAAUGGUUAAAGUUCCGGCGGUAUGGGCUGGGCAUGCGUAACAUUAGCUAGUUGGUAGGGUAACGGCCUACCAAGGCUUCGAUGUUUAGGGGUCCUGAGAGGGUGGUCCCCCAACUGGUACUGAGACACGGACCAGACUCCUACGGGAGCAGCAGUGAGGAAUAUUGGUCAAUGGGCCAAGCCUGAACCAGCCAUCCCGCGUGCAGGAAGACGGCCCUAUGGGUUGUAAACUGCUUUUCCAGGGGACGAAUAGUUUCUACGUGUAGAGACCUGACGUACCUUGGGAAUAAGCAUCGGCUAACUCCGUGCCAGCAGCCGACGGUAAAAGUACUCU